RNAcentral lists this unclassified non-coding RNA (225 nucleotides) under Hevea brasiliensis (rubber tree). Lineage: Eukaryota; Viridiplantae; Streptophyta; Magnoliopsida; Malpighiales; Euphorbiaceae. The record is from RNAcentral.
GGAAGCUCUGAAGCUACCUGGAUGGGACAUAUGUCCUUCAAGGUCAUGUUCACGAUCACUAAAGCAGCUCGGGAGCACCUCUUCUUUGGAAAAUCUAGUUGAGAUGAGCCUUCAAUGUAUGGUCAAUGUGGUUGCAAUGGUUUCCAAUCUUGAGAAAGUGCAAGCAUGAGAUGAUUUGCAUAAAUACACAUCAUGUGGGAAUAAAGCUCAUGAGAUGGCAUUACA